Rhipicephalus microplus (southern cattle tick) is the source of this 432-nucleotide long non-coding RNA. The record is from RefSeq and is a predicted model, not a curated record. NCBI's taxonomy places the organism in Eukaryota, Metazoa, Arthropoda, Arachnida, Ixodida, Ixodidae.
GAAUAGGGGGAAUUGGCCCUAUAUACUUUGCUGAGGUUUGUCCCGGUGAGUGCAACAAAUACAGACUGGGAAAAACCUGCUCGCCAGGCUGCAUCUGUGGUGUGCUAAACUUAGUUGAUCCUCACAUAUAUAUGUGCUUUGAGGCAGGCAAACCACUCCCACUGGGAUUCACGUUCAGCGAAUGAUGACACUUCGUGUACAUGUGCUCGCUUAGCUACAAUUUCUGCGUCAUUUCUUCGCACAGCAAUGGACUGCAAUGGCCUUCCCUGUGAUAUCGAAGACAUAAAUUCAUAAACUGUUGAAGAACUUUCAGAAAUAACAUAGCUGCUAUUGAUCAAUAUGACGGCCUCUUUCUGUAAUCUCGAUUGUUAACCGAUCUCUUAUGCUGGGCACCCCAACAGGGGUCUUUAGUGUAAUAAAAUAACUGAAGGA